Molecule: long non-coding RNA, 1853 nt
Filed under: Equus caballus (horse)
Lineage: Eukaryota; Metazoa; Chordata; Mammalia; Perissodactyla; Equidae
Description: lncRNA (ENSECAG00000057609.1)
Source: RNAcentral
CAGAUUUGGCAAAUCAUUUUGUUUGUUGAACAUUUGAAGGAGAAUAAUACUCUGUAUGACCACACGUGUUUCAGUGACAAAGGAGCACAGUAGCAGAUUCUGGCUGCACUGACCUUUUGUUCCUGGUCUCGUGGUUAAGUUUUUGAAAACAAACAAGGGAUUUGUGGAUAAUUAGUCUUCACUGGGAGCCACCGGUCUUCUAAGGAACUCAAAAAUCGUAUCAUGGGAGGGAGCGCUAAAGAUACUCUUCAGAUGAUUCGGUCUGGAGAGAUGAUUCAGAGAACGCGACAAUCCUCCUCAAAUAUCCGAAGAAGUUGCAGAUGGAAGACAGAUUAAAUUUCUACGAGUAGCAAAGGAGCACAUAAUUGGGUUCUUGGGUGGAAAUCACAAGAGACAGAUUUCAACUUCAUUAUAAGGAGACUUUAUUUAUGGAUAUCGCAAUCUAAUUUUAUGUAAUUUUCACAUCAUGAAAUAUUCUUUAAAAAAUUUUUUCGAUCAUUUACAACUGUAAAAACUCCUCUUAGCUCAUGGGUCAUACUAAAACCCAGGUGGGCUGAAUUUGACCAUGGGUCAUAGUUUGCCAGUCCCUGUUCUAGAGUAUUUUAGCCAAUUCAUAUAUCUUGAAUAGUACUAUUUUCACUGGUGAGAAUCUAUUUCUAACUUCAUUUAUGCUGAUAAUUACAAAUUUCACUAUUGUGCUAAAUAAAGAAAUGUCUGUUGUCGAUCAGAGAACAAGGUCACUAAAAUGCUCAUAGUAGCUAUCUCCGGAGUUGGGGCCUUUUUGAUAAAAUUCUAGCUGCUUCCCCCACUCCCUUCUGCCAUUUCAGUGUGAAAUCCUGAUCACGACAUCUGACUGCGCCAGGCUGUAUUUUAGCCUAACUAAUGCGUAGUGUCCCACUGUCCGCGCUGAAGCCGUUUAGAGGGUACAGAGAGAUCAUAACCCUCUAAAAUGCAGAGACACUGAACUCUUUUUUUUUCAUUCAACUCUAUAAGCACUGGGGCAUACUUUGCAUAAUUACAAAGGCCUGUGAAUCUCUCAAACAAAAGAACCGUCCAUCUGGGCAACUAUUUUUAGAAACCGGCUAUAAUUUUUCAUUUUUUCCCCCCGAAUGGCAAUUUUUCCUUCACGUCGCACAUCAAAACAAACUCCUCAAGGUCAGAUGGAAAAAAAGUGAAAGUAUUUGACUGGGUGUUUGACUUAAGUGACUAGUAAAUUCAAUCUUAAAUAUUAAUCUAAUAACCACUUUUAGGUACCAGCUGAAUUUUUCAUUCUGAAAUAAUUUCAGUUUUUUUCUGGGAUAAAUUUUCGCUUUUGCAAAUGUGCUCUUUGUGCAAAUUCUCUGAGUCAAGGUGUAAAACAUCCUUUUAGCCUCUUUUUAUUGAUCUCCUUCCCUCAAGCCGUCUCUCUUUUAGUUUAUAAAAGACAAACCAUAAAUUCCUUCAGUUUUUAAAAUUUUUUUCCUGCUCUUUCAUCCAUUAGUAGAUUUAACUCUGAAAACUGAAAUUACUUUUGAGUAAUAAAAUCGAAACCCUCCCUCCCGGUUCGAUAGUUUGAAAGUGUUUUUCACUUUGAGCUUAUUUCACCAGUGGACUGGCUAGUGCCACUUUGGAGGAGCUAAAGUGCAUAGGUGUCUGGCUAAGAGAGCAGAUGCCGUGGCUUAUUGCUGGAAACCCCCAACGACGUGCAAUUUGGCGUCUAAAUAGAAACUUGACAAUGAUUGAACCAUUGGGAUGACCUUCAGCUAAAUCAUUUAGAGCAGCACCGUUCUCAAACAUAAAAGGUGACAAUGUGUUGGCCUCUUUAUUUUCUUUGAAAUUAAAACAAAUCUGUGUUUUGUGAAAUAAAGGAUGGG